GACGAGCGCCAGAAAAAAACGAAGGCUGGAGAGCAGUUCGCGCGACGAGUAUUCCGUUGCUUGAGAGACCGGAGAAGAGACUAAAAGGUGUGGGGACCAGUUUCUGUGCUUCCGACAGCAGAGACUUUUUCAUUAUCUACCUGUCUUCAAAAAACCAUGGAAAAGACGUACAUACACGGCUUCCAGUGCCCCGGUAUACGAGUGACACACCUACUCGAGCCAGCUGUCUCUUGUGCUUCGGAACUUUGUCGGCGUAACGUAGCAAGAUGUGGCGAUGGCGGCGUGGCAUCGAGGUCUUGCAGCCAGCAUUUGGCCCUCCACAUGUUACAGCCCCACAAUGAAACAAAACCGAUAAUAACGGUGGUACUUGCAUUACCAGCAAGUCAAAUUGGCUCAAUGGUGGUUGCCGUACACACCCAGAACCUCACGGAGAUCUUGCUGCAGGUGUAGAACCAGAUAAAAGAGAAGAACGGCUGGAGUCCGCUGCUGCAUGUGGUACUGUAGGUAUAUGGUGUAUGGCUGUUGAUGCGAAGUUAGGGGGUUCGGCCUCGGUUACGGCGGCACCACUUCGAUGGCUGCGAAGUGAUAGAGACGCGCAUCAUGCAGGGCUCAUUAAAAAAGCAUCAAAUGAAA
This is a long non-coding RNA of Rhipicephalus microplus (southern cattle tick), 633 nucleotides long. The record is from RefSeq and is a predicted model, not a curated record. Lineage: Eukaryota; Metazoa; Arthropoda; Arachnida; Ixodida; Ixodidae.